GUGCAUCCUUACAUGCAGCUUUGUGACUAAUCUACUUUACUUGAAUCUGCUUAUCUUUGAAGACAUCAAAGAUCACCCCCUCUUUUUGGUCUUUAUGCAUUAUCAAUCCAUAUCCACAUUGAUGAUUACUUUAGUCGUUUUCAUAAAUGGCCUUCCAAGAAUAAUUAGGAUCUUUUCAUCCUCCUUCAUCUCCAUCACCAAAUAGUCAAUCAGGAAUUCAAGCCUUUCCAUUCAAACCACAAUAUCCUCCACCACACCAUAUGGUUUCUUAGAUGAUCCAUCUGCCAUUAGCAAAGAAAUCUUUGUCGGCUUCAAUCUAAGACCACCAAUCUUCUUGAGCAUAGAUAGGGGCAUCAAAUUAAUGCUUGACCCUAAAUCAAGUACAACUUUCCCUAUUUUCACAUUCCCAAUGGUGCAAGGAAUUGUAAAACUUCCUAUAUCCUUCACUUUUGGAGGACAUGAUUUCUUCAACAAGACACUGCAACUACUCUAUUCAUCAGUAGCUUCCUCAUCUAGAUGUAUCUUUUCCCUGAAGAACUGCUUCAUACGCUUUGAAUAGGUAGGAAUUUGUUGCAAUGCUUCAGUCAAUGGUAUAGUAAUCUCCAAUUGAUUGAAGAUCUCUCGAAAAUGCUCACAUUGUCUCUCUUUAUCUACUCUCUCACGCCCCUUUGGAUAAGGAAGAAUUUUUUCAUUUUUCUCACUUUUUUCUGUCCCCUCUUCUUCUUUUCUUUUUCCAUCUCACCUUCACAUAUUUUCUCUUCUUUUUCCUCUCUCUUCUCUAACUCAACGCUAUCUUUUUUCUCUUCCACUCUCUCCUCAACUAUACUCACUAUGGGCUUACACUAUUCAUAGUGUUGCAAAUCUCGUUGAAAUUGGUCAGAUGUUCAUAUGGACUUUCAUGAGACAGUCUAUUGAAUUGGUUGCUCUUCACCAAUUGUAUCAACGCCGGAUUCAUCUCCAUGUUUGCAGCAUUGACCCUCAGCCU
This 985-nucleotide long non-coding RNA is filed under the name Vigna radiata. RNAcentral describes it as "long non-coding RNA (VRAD_LNC004228)". The record is from RNAcentral. Lineage: Eukaryota; Viridiplantae; Streptophyta; Magnoliopsida; Fabales; Fabaceae.